GAGGGUAUAGCUCAGUGGUAGAGCGCAUGCUUAGCAUGCACAAGGUCCUGGGUUCAAUCCCCAGCACCUCUG
This 72-nucleotide transfer RNA is filed under the name Camelus bactrianus (Bactrian camel). It matches the Rfam family "tRNA". Rfam says of the family: Transfer RNA (tRNA) molecules are approximately 80 nucleotides in length. Their secondary structure includes four short double-helical elements and three loops (D, anti-codon, and T loops). RNAcentral also lists the same sequence under 2 other names. Lineage: Eukaryota; Metazoa; Chordata; Mammalia; Artiodactyla; Camelidae. The record is from Rfam by way of RNAcentral.